UGCCAUAGCCAAGUGGUAAGGCAAAGGUCUGCAAAACCUUUAUUCAUCGGUUCAAAUCCGAUUGGCA
Molecule: transfer RNA, 67 nt
Filed under: human gut metagenome
Rfam family: tRNA
About the family: Transfer RNA (tRNA) molecules are approximately 80 nucleotides in length. Their secondary structure includes four short double-helical elements and three loops (D, anti-codon, and T loops).
Source: RNAcentral